This 319-nucleotide long non-coding RNA is filed under the name Homo sapiens (human). RNAcentral describes it as "non-protein coding GAS5:68". The stretch from base 240 to 319 matches the Rfam family "Small nucleolar RNA SNORD74". The record is from RNAcentral. Lineage: Eukaryota; Metazoa; Chordata; Mammalia; Primates; Hominidae.
CUUUUCGAGGUAGGAGUCGACUCCUGUGAGGUAUGUUUUAUCUUUGCGAAUGUUGCGGGUUUUGGGGCGCUCCAGCCUUUGUCUGCUAAGGUCACCCUGAAUUGACUGGGACUUCUAAGCCAGUCGCGCGCCUUUGCAGGGCCUACAAGUUGAGGAUGGUGGGGGAUUGCACAUAUGGUGCAUGCGUGACCUAAGCUGCGACUAUGUUAGAGUAGAACUGCGGAGAAGCCUCGGCUCUCGUGCCCUGCCUCUGAUGAAGCCUGUGUUGGUAGGGACAUCUGAGAGUAAUGAUGAAUGCCAACCGCUCUGAUGGUGGCAC